RNAcentral lists this long non-coding RNA (444 nucleotides) under Musa acuminata (dwarf banana). RNAcentral describes it as "long non-coding RNA (MACU_LNC010581)". The record is from RNAcentral. Lineage: Eukaryota; Viridiplantae; Streptophyta; Magnoliopsida; Zingiberales; Musaceae.
GACAUCCUUAGUUUUAGUAAACCAAGAUGCCUGUGUUCUCCAAAGGAACUCAAUAUCAGCAUUCAAAAGAAAAAAACAACAACAAAUGAGAUGAUCGAGAUGAUGGUUGUUCAAUGUUCAAGAAUGUUUGUGUAGUUCGUUUGGGCCUUCCGUGUGAAGCAAAGUGCUUCAUGUAUGUGAGGAGAGGUGCCUCGAUAGAUGACCUUAAGCGAAAAAAGCUUCAGCAAGGAGGUUUUGGUGAUUAGUCUAGCUUGCAACUCUAUUUUAUAUUGUGAGUUUGUAGAUAAUAGUAAUUAUGGAUAUGAUAUUUCUAAUGCAAUUGAUUACUUACAAAUGUUGAGUUUCUUGAAAGCUGUUGAAACAGGUUGUUGUUGUUGUUUCUGUCUAGUUCAGACUGUUUCUUCAUGGUGCCCUUCUUCGACCGACAAAAGGGGGGUGUGGAAG